GACGAACGCUGGCGGCGUGCCUAAUACAUGCAAGUCGUGCGGACCUUGUUGAAAGCUUGCUUUUAAAAGGUUAGCGGCGGACGGGUGAGUAACACGUGGGCAACCUGCCUGUAAGACUGGGAUAACGCCGGGAAACCGGGGCUAAUACCAGAUCGUUUUUUCCUCCGCAUGGAGGAAAAAGGAAAGGCGGCUUCGGCUGCCACUUACAGAUGGGCCCGCGGCGCAUUAGCUAGUUGGCGGGGUAAUGGCCGACCAAGGCAACGAUGCGUAGCCGACCUGAGAGGGUGAUCGGCCACAUUGGGACUGAGACACGGCCCAAACUCCUACGGGAGGCAGCAGUAGGGAAUCUUCCGCAAUGGACGAAAGUCUGACGGAGCAACGCCGCGGGAGUGAAGAAGGCCUUCGGGUCGUAAAACUCUGUUGCCGGGGAAGAACAAGUGCCGUUCGAACAGGGCGGCGCCUUGACGGUACCCGGCCAGAAAGCCACGGCUAACUACGUG
Molecule: ribosomal RNA, 500 nt
Filed under: uncultured bacterium
Lineage: Bacteria
Description: partial 16S ribosomal RNA
Rfam family: Bacterial small subunit ribosomal RNA
Source: RNAcentral